GCCAGAAUACUUAACACAACUGUUACACCUUCAACAGCCACUCAAUAUAAGACACAUUGAUACUGUAAAUAACACCAGGCUUUUGAAUGUCCUAUACUAUCUGAACAGAUCAUUUCCUCCAAUAUCUGCUGCAAUCACUGAGUGAUGCUUCAGGAAAUGAACAGGAAGCAUCAUCCUCAAGAGCUCCUCUUCAGGCUUCCUCCAACUGGAGCACAAGAAAUACUCUCUUUUCAGAGAGGUGGAGGGACGAGAGACCCCGGCAUGUGAACACUGCAGCCGCACAAGAACAUUUGGGAAAGCACAUGUGCCAACAGUGUGGGAGCAAUCCAGCGGCUGUCCGUUGUCGUGACUGUCGACCACGGCCCUUCUUCUGUGCUGACUGUGAUGUCAGCGUGCACGUCAGACAUGUCCUCCACAACAGGGAUGCAAUGACUGCUGGAUUCAUCCAGCCAUUACCUCCAACAUCUCUUGUUGUGGAUAAGGCCCUUUCCCAUUGUGCUACGUGCUGUUGUGUUACUGUCAAACACAUUCAAUUCAACAUCUUUCGAGUACCUUUUCAGCAACAUACUUCAUGGCCAUGAAGUCUUUUUUUCAUUUUCUCAUUACGGUUUGUACCUGUGGAGACGCCUGACCAGAAUUAUUAAAGGUCAACCCAGGAAACGAUGUUACUGUGGUCACAAUGAAUGGGCGACAUGAUCUCAGCAUGCCUGAGUUGAAUUGUGAGGCAUGCAAAGCCACUUGGACUGCUGGAGUGGACGACCUCAUUCGCAGUGACUACUGGCCUGCUACACUUCACUCUGCUACAGUUUAUGCAACCCAGAUUUUGUUUUCAUUUGAAGAAAUGAAGAUGGUGGCACCAGGAUUGUCCUGCCAGGCAUUUUUGACAAUGUCCGCUUUGGCCGUGUGAGUAAUAAAGUUAUUGAUCCCAUAGUGUAGUUCAUCUGUUUGUAUUGGGGCUGGAAAAGCUUUGUUUGUUGGUUAUGCAUUUAUUCCACAUUAUUGGCUCUCCAUUUCCUUGUUU
Solea senegalensis (Senegalese sole) is the source of this 1021-nucleotide long non-coding RNA. RefSeq lists it as uncharacterized. The record is from RefSeq and is a predicted model, not a curated record. The transcript has 3 exons. NCBI's taxonomy places the organism in Eukaryota, Metazoa, Chordata, Actinopteri, Pleuronectiformes, Soleidae.